GACGAACCGAGCGAACGUUGUUCGGAAUCACUGGGCUUAAAGGGCGCGUAGGCGGGUGCUCAAGUCCGUGGUGAAAUCCUCCGGCUCAACCGGAGAACUGCCUCGGAUACUGGGCGUCUCGAGUGUGGUAGGGGUAUGCGGAACUAUCGGUGGAGCGGUGAAAUGCGUUGAUAUCAUCAGGAACUCCGGUGGCGAAGGCGGCAUGCUGGACCUUCACUGACGCUGAGGCGCGAAAGCUAGGGGAGCGAACGGG
This 253-nucleotide ribosomal RNA is filed under the name uncultured bacterium. RNAcentral describes it as "partial 16S ribosomal RNA". It matches the Rfam family "Bacterial small subunit ribosomal RNA", at positions 524 to 776 of the family's 1533-position model. The record is from RNAcentral.